This 230-nucleotide long non-coding RNA is filed under the name Manihot esculenta (cassava). RNAcentral's name for it is "long non-coding RNA (MESC_LNC003164)". The record is from RNAcentral. Lineage: Eukaryota; Viridiplantae; Streptophyta; Magnoliopsida; Malpighiales; Euphorbiaceae.
GCUUUAAGUCGACCCGGAUCCUAGCGCCGGUAGCGGUCCGAUUUUCGGGUCGUUACAGAAUGGUAUCAGAGCCCUAGGUUCAUAGGAUCGGACCUAGAGUGUCGGGCUCAUAGAUGUUAUAGAAGGUCAAGCACAAUAGGAAAGGUCAUGUCCACUAGGAUAGGAUGUGGAGUCCUGUCUUACAUGAUGAUGUGAAAUGCCAUGAUUAUAUACAUGUGCAUUGAUGCUAU